AACGAACGCUGGCGGCAUGCCUAACACAUGCAAGUCGAACGAGACCUUCGGGGCUAGUGGCGCACGGGUGCGUAACGCGUGGGAACCUGCCCUUAGGUUCGGAAUAACUCCCCGAAAGGGGUGCUAAUACCGGAUAAUGUCUUCGGACCAAAGAUUUAUCGCCUUUGGAUGGGCCCGCGUUGGAUUAGCUAGUUGGUAGGGUAAAAGCCUACCAAGGCGACGAUCCAUAGCUGGGCUGAGAGGAUGAUCAGCCACACUGGGACUGAGACACGGCCCAGACUCCUACGGGAGGCAGCAGUGGGGAAUAUUGGACAAUGGGCGAAAGCCUGAUCCAGCAAUGCCGCGUGAGUGAUGAAGGCCUUAGGGUUGUAAAGCUCUUUUACCAGGGAUGAUAAUGACAGUACCGGGAGAAUAAGCUCCGGCUAACUCCGUG
Molecule: ribosomal RNA, 433 nt
Filed under: uncultured bacterium
Lineage: Bacteria
Description: partial 16S ribosomal RNA
Rfam family: Bacterial small subunit ribosomal RNA
Source: RNAcentral